CUGUGUGUUAUAUGUGUCCACACGGGACUGCCGGUCUUAAGCCGGAGGAAGGUGGGAUGAUGUCAAGUCAGCAUGGCCUUUAUAUCCUGGGCUACACACACGCUACAAUGGCCAACACAAUAGGUUGCUAAGCCGCGAAGGUGGCGCCAAAUCCAAUAAAGUUGGUCUCAGUUACAGAUUGUAGGCUGCAACCCGCCUGCAUGAAGAUGGAGUUGCUAGUAACCGCAGGUCAGCUAUACUGCGGUGAAUACGUUCCCGGGGCUU
This 264-nucleotide ribosomal RNA is filed under the name uncultured Leptolinea sp. RNAcentral's name for it is "partial 16S ribosomal RNA". It matches the Rfam family "Bacterial small subunit ribosomal RNA", at positions 1108 to 1382 of the family's 1533-position model. Lineage: Bacteria; Bacillati; Chloroflexota; Anaerolineae; Anaerolineales; Anaerolineaceae. The record is from RNAcentral.